CUGUUCCUUUGAAAGAUUAUGCUUCUCAUUGCUGAAUUUAGAUAAGGCACCAGGCCCGGAUGGAUUCCCAACCUCUUUCUUCAAUAAGAAGAAAUAUUUGAAAUGAAACGAAUUCCUCUUCAUUCUAUUGUGCUCAGUGAAGUAACUGCCUAAGCAUACUUUUUCGGAUCCCCAACUAGCUUUCUAAACCCGUUAAAUAGGAGGUUGAUGAAAUGAACCUACC
RNAcentral lists this long non-coding RNA (223 nucleotides) under Elaeis guineensis (African oil palm). Its description in RNAcentral is "long non-coding RNA (EGUI_LNC002678)". The record is from RNAcentral. Lineage: Eukaryota; Viridiplantae; Streptophyta; Magnoliopsida; Arecales; Arecaceae.